UUACUGUGGUGUCUCUUCAUAACGCACCAGUCUUUUGCCUUUUACUUAAGACUUCCGUGGAGAGUGACUCCAACGAGUGUAGCCUAUUUUUUGACAGUCUUUGCUGUCUGGCCU
Small nuclear RNA from Acanthochromis polyacanthus (spiny chromis), 114 nucleotides. Its record names the gene U5. It matches the Rfam family "U5 spliceosomal RNA". Rfam says of the family: U5 RNA is a component of both types of known spliceosome. Lineage: Eukaryota; Metazoa; Chordata; Actinopteri; Pomacentridae. The record is from Ensembl.